RNAcentral lists this ribosomal RNA (411 nucleotides) under Triticum aestivum (bread wheat). Its description in RNAcentral is "partial small subunit ribosomal RNA". The record is from RNAcentral. Lineage: Eukaryota; Viridiplantae; Streptophyta; Magnoliopsida; Poales; Poaceae.
GGGCUAUGGAAGGCUGACAUUCCUCUCAAAAUCAAGAUCUUCUUAUGGCAAAUGUUUCGCAACCGCUUACCUACGUCGGACAACGUUGCCAAACGAAAUGGGUCGGCGGACGGCACGUGCACCACUUGCGGUUUAGGGGAAAACACGAACCACGUAUUCUUUGGUUGUGUGCUUGCUAGAUUUGCAUGGAGUGCGGUGAGAGACGCAUUCAAUCAAAAUUGGAACCCUCAAUCGAGCCACGACAUGCUGUCUAUCUUAACGUCGCAAAGAGGGGCCAAUGCUAGGAUAGUUUGGAGAUGCGUUGGGGCGCUUCUUUGGUCCCUCUGGACGGUUCGUAACAAAAUUACGAUUGAACACAAGUUCCCGGCCCACCCCGCUGAUAUUAUCUUCAAAUGCCAUAUUUUCCUUUAG